GUGCUUUCUUAAUGGCUGUGGGUCACCCAACCAAGAAUUUGGUGUACUUAAUUUGCCGCAUGCCUUCCUUCUCAGGAGGCCUGGCUUCAUAAUCCACAGGACCAUGAGCUCCCUGGAGCAUACAGCUUCAACAUUUCCAGAAUUUUGACAUCUGUCUGGUAGUGAGUUCUCCUCCACCCCUUGCACCACCGCUAGCUUCUCUCCUGCUCGCAUCCUUAGCCUCGGAGGAGUGACAAUUGCACUGGAAUCCCUGGAUUUCAUCCCUCAUCCCUGGUGAAGAUAAAGCUAAUUGUACAAAGCUGCGUUUGCCCUGCCGGAACCUCACCCCCUGCACCUCUGGAAAAGACACGGAAGCUGCUCAUCACCUUCGCCUGAGAUCAGCCCCAUCAGCACCUGUCUGAGCUAUAAGAAUCCCAGAGCAUAGCUCCUACUGAGUCUAAUUCCCAAAGUGGGGUAUCGUGUUAUCUCGUCCAGCCUCCCGGUCCCAUCGAUGAAGAUGCUUCCUCCCACAGGUGGGAAGUGACAGGUGCAAGGUCCUCACUGGGUUUUGCCAUUUGACAAAGUCAAGAGAAAAACCCCAUGACCCCAGUAGUGGCCUCACCCCACACCCCAACCUCCUCUGAUUGUAUGACCUCCUUCCUAUUGGUACUGCUCCACUGCGGAAGGAGGUGGGAUGUGAUGAUAGACUGAGCUCCCACGCAUAACCCGGAGGGCCCUGUCUUCAAAGACUACGACUGUGAACAUCUAUUCUUCGUGACUCAGAGGGCAGGUCCGAGCCUUACGUUACUCAAGGCAUUAGCCAUGAACGGCUUGUUGGAGACGAAAUCCGUAUGCAAACCCCCCCCUUUCCUGUCAUUUAAUACUCACGUAACUUUGUACAGAUCGCGUAAUCUUCCAGAAGCCCAGCCUUCCUGAGGAAUGGACAGGUGAUCUCUGCCAGACUCGGAGAGUCAUUGUGAGCACGGACUUCCCACACGAGACGGCGCAGAGAGGUGUACGUGUUAGCUGCUAUUGUGGUGGAAGACAUGCAGCAAAUAUUGAUGACACCCACUCGGAGCCAGACACGGAGAAAACAAUCUCCCAGGCACCUUCCUUUCCUUUAUCUUCUCUGAUCCUGGCAUCUAUUCCACGAAGUGUAAAGUAUCAUUUUCAUUUUCGAUGAUGAAAAGACUGCCUGAGGUCCUCCAGCUGGUCACUGGCCACGUGUGGACUUGAA
Molecule: long non-coding RNA, 1216 nt
Filed under: Vulpes vulpes (red fox)
Lineage: Eukaryota; Metazoa; Chordata; Mammalia; Carnivora; Canidae
Description: lncRNA (ENSVVUG00000007598.1)
Source: RNAcentral